RNAcentral lists this ribosomal RNA (253 nucleotides) under uncultured bacterium. RNAcentral's name for it is "partial 16S ribosomal RNA". It matches the Rfam family "Bacterial small subunit ribosomal RNA", at positions 524 to 776 of the family's 1533-position model. The record is from RNAcentral.
UACGUAGGGUGCAAGCGUUGUCCGGAAUUAUUGGGCGUAAAGAGCUCGUAGGCGGUCUGUCGCGUCGGCUGUGAAAUCCCGAGGCUCAACCUCGGGUCUGCAGUCGAUACGGGCAAACUGGAGUGUUGCAGGGGAGACUGGAAUUCCUGGUGUAGCGGUGAAAUGCGCAGAUAUCAGGAGGAACACCGGUGGCGAAGGCGGGUCUCUGGGCCGUAACUGACGCUGAGGAGCGAAAGCGUGGGGAGCGAACAGG